GCUAGAGAUGCUCUCAACCAAUUUUUGAAGGAAGCCAUGACGGAUAGCCUCACACAAAAAUUCUCUUGGACUGGAAAGACUGUUUCAGAUAAAGAGAAUCUGCGACCGUUAUUUAAUACCUGUAUCGGAAAGGUAUUUUUUGAUGCCUUACGUGAGUGUCGAACAAUACCACAGCCACAUGAUCGUACAGAAUUUGCGAGACUGAUGCAAGAGGCAAUUCGGGGCGCA
Molecule: long non-coding RNA, 228 nt
Organism: Neodiprion virginianus
Lineage: Eukaryota; Metazoa; Arthropoda; Insecta; Hymenoptera; Diprionidae
Exons: 2
Source: RefSeq, a predicted model, not a curated record